GUUAUCCCAGGAGGCUGCCUUCGCCAUCGGUGUUCCUCCGCAUAUCUACGCAUUUCACUGCUACACGCGGAAUUCCACCUCCCUCUGACACACUCUAGCUCGGUAGUUAAAAAUGCAGUUCCAAAGUUAAGCUCUGGGAUUUCACAUCUUUCUUUCCGAACCGCCUGCGCACGCUUUACGCCCAGUAAUUCCGAUUAACGCUUGCACCCUACGUAUUACCGCGGCUGCUGGCACGUAGUUAGCCGGUGCUUAUUCUGCAGGUACCGUCAGUUUCACGGGGUAUUAGCCCAUGACGUUUCUUUCCUGCCAAAAGUGCUUUACAACCCGAAGGCCUUCAUCGCACACGCGGGAUGGCUGGAUCAGGGUUUCCCCCAUUGUCCAAAAUUCCCCACUGCUGCCUCCCGUAGGAGUCUGGGCCGUGUCUCAGUCCCAGUGUGGCUGGUCGUCCUCUCAAACCAGCUACGGAUCGUCGCCUUGGUGAGCCGUUACCCCACCAACUAGCUAAUCCGAUAUCGGCCGCUCUAAUAGUGCAAGGUCUUGCGAUCCCCUGCUUUCCCCCGUAGGGCGUAUGCGGUAUUAGCUACGCUUUCGCGUAGUUAUCCCCCGCUACUAGGCACGUUCCGAUACAUUACUCACCCGUUCGCCACUCGCCACCAGACCGAAGUCCGUG
This 670-nucleotide ribosomal RNA is filed under the name Achromobacter deleyi. RNAcentral describes it as "partial 16S rRNA". Lineage: Bacteria; Pseudomonadati; Pseudomonadota; Betaproteobacteria; Burkholderiales; Alcaligenaceae. The record is from RNAcentral.